RNAcentral lists this long non-coding RNA (1478 nucleotides) under Elaeis guineensis (African oil palm). RNAcentral's name for it is "long non-coding RNA (EGUI_LNC031141)". The record is from RNAcentral. Lineage: Eukaryota; Viridiplantae; Streptophyta; Magnoliopsida; Arecales; Arecaceae.
CAUAAGAUCACCCAAUAACAGAAGUUCAAAAGCCCUAUAACAGCAACCACCUAUAUCAGCAUGGAGAAUGUAAUGAGGUGUCAGGGAAUCCCUAGAACAUCCACUUCUGUCAUACCCAUAAAAUCCAGACAUGAAAGCUCAGAGCAGAUGAUCAUACUGUUACUUUCCACUUCAAGACCAGCAAUCUCUGCUGCAAAGCAUAUUAACCAUCCAUCUCGAAUUCUAUAGUUACCACUAUAUUAAUGGCCUAAAAGCAGCUUGAUUCCUGAGAUAUGAGAAACCCUAGAAAAUUGAAAGGAUCAUAGGGAUUACCUUAUAUCUCUUCCAUCAGCAAUAGAUCAUUAAAUCUCAUUUGGUAAGACACCCAUACUGGCAACUUCAAUCUGUUACAAAAUACACCUGCUCCAUGUAAAAACAUUAUCACCAUGGCCCAACUAAAAGCACAGUAUUAGAGCUCCAGAAAACCAAAAUCAUCAAUUGGUGAGCAUAUUCCAUGCACCAGAAUUGAAGAUUCACUUGAUUAUGUAACACCCAGUAUCAAAAUUCUCUCAGAGAAACAUCCAAGAUACACAUCAACUCGACAGUAGCGGAGCAAUUAAUUUGCUAACCACCCCAAAAACCUUAUUUAAUUGUCAUUUUUUCCAAAGAUAAGAGCUCCCAGGCGGCAGCAGCAGCAGCAGUGAUAACAUAGAAACACUCGAGCGAAUGAUUUUUUUUUUUUUUUAGUCAAAAAUCCAAGGGAACAUGAGAAUAUACAAGGGUAAGCACUCUGACCAGUUCUCAAAAGUUGUCACCUCCUCAAAAUUACCUUAAGAUGUGCCUCUCAAAAUGGUCAUCAAAGCUUCUCUUUGUUAGCAUCAGGGUAAGUAUGAAUAUCCAAUAGUCAGCUACCCACACCAAGUCAACCUCAGGCCCCUUAAGCAAUUUACAACAAUAAUAUAUCAUAUGUUAUUUCUUACUCGAAACAUACCUCUAACGACAAGAAUAAUCUGUUCCAUAGCGUCACAAACAAUAUUAGCAUACAGAAUGCAAAGCUGCUAAACCUCAGUUUGCCCAAGAAACACCUAAGACCAAAUGCUUAGCACGUCAUAAUCCUUCAAAUCCUUUAAUCAUUUGGAAAUGAAUAGAAAAGUCUUUCAAACAUGCAUCCCAGGAUAGGUGAUCCACACUCACAAUAAUCCACCUUUGUUCAUUAAAUGAAGAGGCAAACUCAUGAGACAUUAAAAAUGCUGGUUUAUGCACUAUCAUAGUCAAAAGAUAGUGUGCACCAAAUAAUAUGCAGUUGCAUGCUGUAUCACGCUUCCCUUUAAAACAUUCCGAAAAUGGAUAGAUGAACAGUAUGAGCUUAGGGAUUGAUAAUGAUUAAAAGAAGCUUAACCACCAACAAGGCAAUAAUGCUCACACGGCCAGCUGAGAUGCUAAACAAAGACUAAAAUUGCUACACAAAUCAUCAUUAAGAUGACACAUACCACCACUGA